ACGAACGCUGGCGGCAUGCCUAACACAUGCAAGUCGAACGGGGGUAGCAAUACCCUAGUGGCGAACGGGUGAGUAACACAUAAGCAAUCUGCCCUUCGACAGGGGGAUAACAGCGGGAAACUGCUGCUAAUACCGCAUAAGACCACGGUACCGCAUGGUACAGGGGUAAAAACGAAUCAGUGGUGAAGGAUGAGCUUAUGUCCCAUUAGCUAGUUGGUGAGAUAACAGCCCCACCAAGGCGACGAUGGGUAGCCGACCUGAGAGGGUGAUCGGCCACACUGGAACUGAGACACGGUCCAGACUCCUACGGGAGGCAGCAGUGGGGAAUAUUGGGCAAUGGAGGAAAAACCUCUUACCCAGCAAUGCCGCGUGAGUGAAGAAGGUCUUCGGAUUGUAAAGCUCUUUGAUUGGGGACGAAGAAAGUGACGGUACCCAAAGAACAAGCCCCGGCUAACUACGUGCCAGCCGCAGC
This 472-nucleotide ribosomal RNA is filed under the name uncultured bacterium. RNAcentral describes it as "bacterial SSU rRNA". It matches the Rfam family "Bacterial small subunit ribosomal RNA", at positions 29 to 518 of the family's 1533-position model. The record is from RNAcentral.